This 228-nucleotide ribosomal RNA is filed under the name uncultured bacterium. RNAcentral describes it as "partial 16S ribosomal RNA". It matches the Rfam family "Bacterial small subunit ribosomal RNA", at positions 103 to 334 of the family's 1533-position model. The record is from RNAcentral.
CGGGUGAGUAAUACAUCGGAACGUACCCAGUAGUGGGGGAUAGCUCGGCGAAAGCCGGAUUAAUACCGCAUACGACCUAUGGGUGAAAGCGGGGGAUCGCAAGACCUCGCGCUAUUGGAGCGGCCGAUAUCAGAUUAGGUAGUUGGUGGGGUAAAAGCCUACCAAGCCGACGAUCUGUAGCUGGUCUGAGAGGACGACCAGCCACACUGGGACUGAGACACGGCCCAG